Heterocephalus glaber (naked mole-rat) is the source of this 1247-nucleotide long non-coding RNA. Lineage: Eukaryota; Metazoa; Chordata; Mammalia; Rodentia; Bathyergidae. The record is from Ensembl.
GGUUCACAGUCCAUGAGCAGGAGAUAUUUACAGCACUUUGAGAAAUAUUGAGUAACUUGCCCCCUUAAUGCAUUUACCUGUCUUAACUUUCUUUCUUUUUCCCGCUUUCCACUAUUUCUUUCAUCCAAAGUCUGUCCUUUCAGUCUCUUCAUAAGACCCCUUUAGUAAACAGAAUGUCAGCAAUAAGAGGGGGAGUCAUAGUAGUGGGGAAACAGAGGGGGUUUUAGGAGAGGUUUCUUUAGGAGUGGAUGUGGCAAUAGAACUAAGAGAAACUGGAAUUUGGGGCUUAUGAGCCAGAUCAGAUUUCAAUAUAUCAUUGCCAAUUUGCCUCAUGGAGAGUUUGUUGUUAGCCACAAACACAAUGACUCCUGUGAUCAGAGUAACAAUUAUAAACAUUAUGGCAAGAAAAAAUAAAACAUGAGGGUACGAUGUGUUCCACCCUUUCCCCCAGCUGGGACUUUGUCAAGCAGUAUUGGAGGUCGGUUGGGCUUCGCCACCGGGGGACCCGUCACAGUCUUCCUCCAAUCAGACUGUCAGCUUGCAAGGAGCCCUGGGGAAUCAUCCCCAUCGAGGGGAGUGUAUAAGAGCCCCCGGUUUAUACUGGAAACCCCCACUGUGGGUCUCGGUCUCCUGUGAGGCAGUAUGACGUCCGUGAUAUAGGAAGGCGAGAACAAAAGACACAGAGACAAGAGACUUGAGAGAAGCUGGCUCUUGGGCUGAUCCAAGCUGCUUUGGGAAGCAAAGACAAAAGACAUCAAGGCUGCCUGGCAAGGGCAAGGUCCUGUGUUUGAUCCCCGCUAUUGGAAAUACAAAAAGACACCAAGGACAUCCAAUGUUUAUGAUCGUGGGGGAGGAGGGAGCUGGCCAGGCCUUGGGACACCUGCUGGUAACACUAUCGCAGGAUAUGGCUGCCUAUCUCCUCGAUGACCAAAUUUCAACACAUUCUUCAACUAAUGGACACCCAACCUCGGGCACUGGGGCUCCCAGGAUUUCAGCCUGGGGACCUGAUAGGGGUGACAUCUCUCCUCUCUCUAGAGCCCAUCUGGGAGGGGCCGAACUUGGUGAUUCUUUGAACUUAGCAGGCAAGGCGUUGGGACUGGAGUCCUGGGUACACCAAGCCCAGCUUUACCCAUGGAAGUCUGACAUUCCUGAAAGCACGACCCAUCACCCGGGCACUUUUGUGAACCCAGGGAUGACCUAAAACUUCUAUUUAAGAAGACUACUUUCUGGGGCCGGGGAUUUAGCUC